This is a long non-coding RNA of Papaver somniferum (opium poppy), 1563 nucleotides long. RefSeq lists it as uncharacterized. The record is from RefSeq and is a predicted model, not a curated record. The transcript has 7 exons. NCBI's taxonomy places the organism in Eukaryota, Viridiplantae, Streptophyta, Magnoliopsida, Ranunculales, Papaveraceae.
CGAUGGCCAAUCUAACAGCUAGAUAUCUAGCCCAUAGGACUAAGCCUUAGACGUUUCCAUUCUCUCUUCCCUUCCUCGCUCUAUUUUGUAACGCCCAAAAAUAAAACCCUAUUUAGUAUAUCAGAUUCAAUCCCUAGCUGUGAUUCAAUCUUUCUUCAUUCAAUUUCAGAAUCAGUACUAUUAGCUGUGAUUUAUUGGUCGCUCCAAAUUCCCAUUCAAUUUCAGAAUUUCAAAAAACAGUAACGGUUCUAAGAUUGCCCUAAUAAUGAUAUUUCUCAAAUUCCCAUUCAAUUUCAUGGAUUCAAUUGACUGCUGCUUCUAUAAAUUGUCUCCGAAAAUCGCAGAUCAGCAUCAGUCUCACCGAUUCGUCACUUGCCAACAGAGAAACCGAUGGCACCACAGAUUACCUGCAAACUUCAAAAGGUUUCUGGUUAGCUUUCAAGUUGAAGAUAAUACCAAAUGCCGCAAUCAAUGUUUCUCUUGACAGUGAGGUCCAUAAAUUGGUCUGGCAUACAGCAUAUAAACUCAUAAGUAGGUCAUAGAUCGAUGCUGAAUAGGCGGGGAUGUCUGGAUUCUCACAGAUCCUGCUCCAUGUUGUGGAUUUCCAAACUACUCUCAAUUCCUUCAACAUGAAACAAAAAAUUGCAAGCAGCUACCACGUCACCCGCAUUGACCUACGUGCUCCCCCUGUGCCCUCAGCAUCACACCAGAUCCUUUUGAACCGGUAAAAUUUGAAGGUAACUAGGACACUGAUGAAGAACAUGCGCCCAAGAAUGCUUGCUGUGACGAAGUGGUCCAACUGGAUGGAGAUCAAGCCGAAGAAUGAGCUCUGGCUUUCCAGUUUCCACCUGAUUAGUUUCCAUGUUUUUCCUGGGCCACCCUCCAUCAUGAACUUCAAAGAUGCCGGUGAAAUCAUUAAUGUUCAACAUUUGGGGGAUGGACGUUUCAACUUUAAAGGGACAUGUUACUGUUGAGUUUGCAACAGAAGAAGCCGCGCAGAAGUUAAUAAUGUUGUUGUUACACACGAACAAUGUUGUUGGACACACCACUAUCUGCUCUUCUUUAACUUCCCAAAGUAAGUCGUUUCUGUUGCGAGGUGCAUACAGUGACAUGAUACUCGAUGGUUUACAACCGUCAAGAGAUUCAUUUCACCGAAAAGAGCGAGCUAGGUUGCAAGAUGCUUUUAUUUUAACGAUCAAAAGGAAGCAAUGGGCUUAGCACCUGAAGGUUCUAUACUAAAGUCCUCUUAAGCUGUUGGCAAGGAGUAUGAACUCAGUUCCAUAAGUGCCAUACCACUCGGCAUCAUAAGUAUAAGACGGAAUGCGAAUACCGGCUGUAGAGCACCAUGAGUAUGAGAAGAAAAAAAAUGUAAGAAAAUUUGUAAAUUUUAGGCUUCAAUAUAAAACCAUCUUGGAGGAGGCUUCUCAUAUUGGCCCAUAAAGAAAAACCCCUGGAUGAUCAAAAAUUAAGAAACUAUAUAUGAUUGAUUUUGAACGAUUUUUUGGGGACCAUGGUUUUUUUGGGGACCAUGGUUCUAUUUUUAGUAAGACAUUUAGAAGUAAA